AUUAUCAUUUUUAUCAUUCCCACAAUUCAAUCAAUUUUCAUGGGUUUAACAUAAACAUUUUCAUCAUUCCUACCAUUCAAUCAUAUUUCAUGGGUUUAGCAUCAACAUUUUCAUCAUUCCCACAAUUCAAUCAAAUUUCAUGGGUUUAACAACAACGUUUUCGUUAUUCACACAAUUCAAUCAAAUUUCAUGGGUUUAACAUCAACAUUUUCAUCAUUACCAUAAUUCAAUCAAAUUUCAUGGGUUUUACAUCACAUUUUCAUCAUUC
Molecule: long non-coding RNA, 268 nt
Filed under: Lathyrus oleraceus (garden pea)
Lineage: Eukaryota; Viridiplantae; Streptophyta; Magnoliopsida; Fabales; Fabaceae
Description: Pisum sativum (pea) long non-coding RNA (PSAT_LNC040072)
Source: RNAcentral